This 1242-nucleotide long non-coding RNA is filed under the name Bos taurus (domestic cattle). RNAcentral's name for it is "long non-coding RNA NONBTAT031345". Lineage: Eukaryota; Metazoa; Chordata; Mammalia; Artiodactyla; Bovidae. The record is from RNAcentral.
AAUAACUUUCCCCAUUAUAAACUAUGGUUAGAACGUUUACAAAUGAGAGUCUAAGUUCUCUGUUAUGGAACAGCAAUGAGUACACUAUACUGCAUGGACUGUUCUGAACAGCAGGAGAAGCAAUAUAAACUCAGGUCAGACACUGUAGUGGCAGGAAGCAGAUAAGCCUUGAUACAAUGCUAUGGUACUCUUCUUCUGAAUCUUCCUCACAAAGAUCCCACAUUUAGGUCCAGAAUGAUGCAGCUAGCAAAUAAACAUGCACAUAUCAUUUGAGAGAACAGAAAGAACCCUGAAUAGGGUGAGUUCCUUUCUCUCCCACCUCCAUUUUCAGUGUAUUUUGUUUAUGUAUUCACUAAUUUGGAAUCAGGAAUAUGGUCCUGGUUGGCUCUGACUCAGAGGUCCCAAACUAUUGCCUCCAGGUUUGAAAGCUGCUGGCAGACACGUUUGGCUAGCACAAUGUUUGCAAAUCUGAAUGUGAAUGUCUUUGUAGCAGACACGUGCUCUCUCAAGCCCUGUAAACCCUACUUCUUCCUGUUGUUUUUCCCAGCCCAACUGCCGCAUUUGUGUUCUGGAUCCAGCCGCUUCACGUAUUUGUGUUUGCAACCCCACAAUCUAGAGGCAGAUGGCUGCUGCUGCUGAUACGUGAUAAGCUGGGGUAAAGAUGUGACUGAUUCUUUUGGGAUUCAGACAGGCAAAGUAUUGAUGAGGUUGAUGCAAACACCAGUGAAGUUAGGAGCAUGGGGUGAAGUUGCGGGGAGGAAGCUAAGUCAGUGGGAAGAUGAGGGCUGGACAAAGUCUGAAGGCUUGCAGCCGCUGGUUCAGUUUCCUCUGCCAGGGUCCAGAGGGUAUGGAGGUGAUAGGAGAUAAAGUCAACUGGUCUGGCAGAAAAAAAAAUAAAACCUUGUGCUGGGCCAAGAGCAAGGAAGAAAGUUAAGGGGGUGAAGAAGGCUGUGUAUCCAGGCCCAAGGCUGAACCUCUCUCUGCAUCCCCCAGCCCUCAGCAGCCCCCCAGCUCCAGAGGAAGGCCUAGGUCAAGGUUGGCACUGACGCUCUUCAGAAAACUAUGGCCUUCUAGCCAUACAUAUUCUUUUCACUUCCCAGCACACAAACUUUGUGUAAACGGGCAAUGGCUUGAAGGUUUAAUGGGGCUGGGAGAGCAGGUCAGUUAGGGAAGGGAAAAUUUACCUCACUCUUACUGCCACCUGGAUUACUUGGCCACUGAAUUCCUCUUAGACACAUGUAG